Molecule: ribosomal RNA, 253 nt
Filed under: uncultured bacterium
Lineage: Bacteria
Description: partial 16S ribosomal RNA
Rfam family: Bacterial small subunit ribosomal RNA
Source: RNAcentral
UACGUAGGGUGCGAGCGUUGUCCGGAAUUACUGGGCGUAAAGAGCUCGUAGGUGGUUUGUCGCGUUGUCCGUGAAAACUCACAACUCAAUUGUGGGCGUGCGGGCGAUACGGGCAGACUGGAGUACUGCAGGGGAGACUGGAAUUCCUGGUGUAGCGGUGGAAUGCGCAGAUAUCAGGAGGAACACCGGUGGCGAAGGCGGGUCUCUGGGCAGUAACUGACGCUGAGGAGCGAAAGCGUAGGGAGCGAACAGG